GCGGGGGUAGCUCAGUCGGGUGAGCGCCCGCUUCUCACGCAAGAGAUGCGGGUUCGAAUCCCGGCGCUGACA
Molecule: transfer RNA, 72 nt
Filed under: Plutella xylostella (diamondback moth)
Lineage: Eukaryota; Metazoa; Arthropoda; Insecta; Lepidoptera; Plutellidae
Description: tRNA-Glu
Source: RNAcentral